Molecule: long non-coding RNA, 185 nt
Organism: Cucurbita maxima (winter squash)
Lineage: Eukaryota; Viridiplantae; Streptophyta; Magnoliopsida; Cucurbitales; Cucurbitaceae
Exons: 4
Source: RefSeq, a predicted model, not a curated record
AACAAGUUGAGAGCUACGUUCAGCCAGCCAUCCCGAGGUUCGAUGGUCACUAUGAUCAUUGGGCGAUGUUGAUGGAAAAUUUUCUCAAAUCAAAGGAGUUUUUUGAUAUGGUGGAGACGGGUUAUGAAGAGCCAAAUGAAGGCAAGGUACUCUCAGCUGGUGGUGAUUACUGAAAAUAAUUUUCA